RNA transcript from Sorghum bicolor (sorghum), 1451 nucleotides. RefSeq lists it as uncharacterized. NCBI's taxonomy places the organism in Eukaryota, Viridiplantae, Streptophyta, Magnoliopsida, Poales, Poaceae. The record is from RefSeq and is a predicted model, not a curated record. The transcript is spliced from 4 exons.
AAAAACUAUCCUGCUGCUUGUUUUUUAUUUUUGUGGUCGGGGAGUUGUCAAAGUUAGCCGUGUCCUUGCAGGGUUUGCCGGCGGUGGCGUUGUCGUCGGUGACGGCGGCCGUGCCGUCCCCUGCUCAGCUCGCCUCGUCCACCGCUCUCACCUCUGCUUCGCUCGCCUCAUGCACCGCUGUCGCCCCUGCUGUGCUUGCCUUUGUCCGCCGCUGUCGCCCCUGCUCCGCUCGCUUCAUCCACAUCUGCGCCUCUCCCCUCCCGCAUCGCAGUUUGUCUGUUGUCCACGCCUCGUUCGUUGUUGUCUCCGUCUCCGUCAGUUUGUGUGGUCACCCUCGCCCGUCGCCCUUUGUCCACCGCAUAUACUGAUACAGAUUCCUGUACUUGCAAACUGCUCUUCUGUGUGUGGUUAUUGGAUCACACAACUGUCAAAAUUAAUGUCAGGUAAUAACUGUCAAAGUUUAGUGUUGCCUAUUUUCAGUUGAAGUUCAGUUUUAGUGUAGUAGAAUUUAUUUUCAGUUUUACUUUUUGUUGGGCUCAAUUUCAGAGUUUUGUUUGUCCCUCAAACAAAUUUUUAGUCUUGGCAUCAAACAAAUCUUUGGUUUGACCAUUAGAUGAUCUGCAGUUUGACCAUUCAGUUAAAUGUAGCAGGCUUCUAUCAUUCAGUUUGAUGAUUCAUAGUUUUAGAUUUUACGGUCUUGCAUCAUUUCAGGCUUGCAUCUCACCACACUGCCUACUCAUGGAUAGCUCUAUAACUACUGCCUUGACGACAAUGGUUUUGAGCUGUGCGAAAUAAAUUUCAGGAGUCAUCUGCUAAGAGCAAAUGUUGGUUUGGUGAUGGUACUGAGCAGAUCAUGCUCGUGGAGAAUGUGAACCUGAUUGUGUGCAUCAUACUAGUAAUGCCCUCCUUUCACCUGCUAAUGUAAAUUUGUUGGCGGAAUUUGUUAAGUUUUUGUGAAUCCAACGUAUCUUGUUCUAUAGAAUGUAUUCUUUUUUUUGUCCCAAAUUAUGUCUUGUGCAAACCAAAAUUUUGUUCUCUACGUUCUUAUAUAGAGAGUAGAUUAGCAUAAGGAAGUUGCCUAGGGAAUCAAUGGAACUUGUAAUGAUCAAGAGAAGGUGUGUAUGAUUUUUUUUGGGUAUCUUCAUGUGUAUUGUUUGAUUUUUGGUACUGUACAACAUUGUAUAUUUUUACAAAAUAGGCUCAAGGUGAAUCAACUAAAUCCAGAGACAAGGUUAUCAUGUACUCUGGUGACACUUUUCAGGAAGUGGAAGAUAAUCACCGUAAAGAUCUUCUAGAUAUGUGCGUAUAGGUGUUUUUUUUAUUUUCUUGCUUUGAUGUACCAAACGACGUGGCAAAUUAUGAUUUGUUGAAAAAGUGGAAGACAACCAACAGAAUAAUCUUCCACAAGAUGUGUAGUUAGUCCCGGAAUUAAUCCAGAUGAAUUAAGUGUA